GUGAGAGGUUGUGUGUGUGUCGUGAGGUGUGUGAGGUUUGUGUGUGUCCUGAGGUGUGUGAGAUGUUGUGUGUGUGUCCUGAGGUAUGUGAGGGUUGUGUGUGUGUCCUGAGUUGUGUGAAAGUUGUGUGUGUCCUGAGGUGUGUGAGGUGUUAUGUGUGUGCCCUGAGGUGUGUGAGGGUUGUGUGUGUGUCCUGAGGUGUGUGAGGGUUGUGUGUUUCUUGAGGUAUGUGAGAGUUGUGUGUGUCCUGAGGUGUGUGAGGGGUUAUGUGUGUGUCCUGAGGUGUGUGAGAGUUGUGUGUGUGUCCUGAGGUGUGUGAGGUGUUGUGUGUGUGUCCUGAGGUAUGUGAGGGUUGUGUGUGUGUCCUGAGUUGUGUGAAAGUUGUGUGUGUCCUGAGGUGUGUGAGGUGUUAUGUGUGUGCCCUGAGGUGUGUGAGGGUUGUGUGUUUCUUGAGGUAUGUGAGAGUUGUGUGUGUCCUGAGGUGUGUGAGGGUUGUGUGUGUGUCCUGAGGUGUGUGAGAGUUGUGUGUGUGUCCUGAGGUGUGUGAGGUGUUGUGUGUGUGUCCUGAGGUAUGU
Molecule: long non-coding RNA, 575 nt
Filed under: Homo sapiens (human)
Lineage: Eukaryota; Metazoa; Chordata; Mammalia; Primates; Hominidae
Description: HSALNT0338506
Source: RNAcentral